This is an RNA transcript of Brassica rapa (field mustard), 1845 nucleotides long. It is a transcript of the gene named probable mediator of RNA polymerase II transcription subunit 26c, with no coding region annotated. The record is from RefSeq and is a predicted model, not a curated record. NCBI's taxonomy places the organism in Eukaryota, Viridiplantae, Streptophyta, Magnoliopsida, Brassicales, Brassicaceae.
CUCUUCCAAAAGUAAACGCCAUUAUUGAUAACUUCUCUCUCUCUCCAUAAGCUGUUCAUCUCCCCCAACCACAACAAACCAACUAGCUUUGCUUUGGUCUCUGUCCAGAACAAGAGCAUCCUGAUUAAAGCUAACCCCCUUUCGUUUUUCUUUUAAAUUUUCCAAUUGGUUUUGUCUGAAAGAAUAUUUUACCGGAAAGCAAAAAAAAAAAGAGAAAACUUGGAGAAGAAUGAGAGAAAAGGAAUAAACAAAUUCUAAAGCCUCAAAUUUGGAAUAUUCCCAUUUCUCUCAUCUUCCUUUCUUCCUUAUUGCUUUGUGACCUCUGUUUCAUUUUUUUCUUUCUUUCAAUCUCUCUGUUCCUCUGUAACAGUAAAGCUUCAUCAAAAUCUCGAAAGCCUCUCCCUUUGAUCUGUUUAUUUUAAUCUGAUUCUCAUUACUUUCUCAAUCGAAUUUGAAUCUUUAUUGGAUUUUUUUAGAUCUGGUGCUGUAAUAACAAAUCAGCUGCUCUGUUUUUUUUUUUGUUUAAAGUUUCAAAAUUUGGGAGCGUGUUUUAAUGGAUUUGGAUGAUUUCCGGACGGUUAUGGACAACGCCGGCGUCGAUGUUUGGACAUUCAUCGACACUGCGAUCCUCGUGGCUUCGCUUGACUACGGUCACGAGCUGAAGCAGAGGAGAGACAACAUCGUCGAGCGUCUCUACGCCACCUCCAUGGCGAACAAGUGUAGAAACUGCGACUAUGGCGGCGGCGGGGGAACCGUUGUGGAAGAUAGGGCUAAUGGGAGGGUUCACGAGGAGGAGACGGAGGAGGAAGAAGAAGUAAGAGAGAAAACAGUUAAUGGUGAUGACGAAGAGGACGAUGAGGAUCCGUUUGCUGGUUUGUUUGAUGAUGAGCAGAAGAGUAUUCUUGAAAUCAAGGAGAAGCUUGAAGAACCUAAUCUGACAGAAGAAGCUUUGGUGGAGUUGCUUCAGAAUCUGGAAGAUAUGGAGAUUACAUUCCAAGCUCUUCAGGAAACUGAUAUUGGGAGGUAUGUGAAUAGAGAUCGAGUUCGGAAGCAUCCAUCCAACGAAGUUCGGAGAUUAGCUAAACAACUUGUCAAAAAAUGGAAAGAGACAGUGGACGAAUGGGUCAAAUUCAACCAGCCUGGUGAUCUCCAUCCUCCGAGUUUAAUAGCUGAUGAGGACUCACCGCAGCAGAGAGCUGUCCACCAACAAGUUCCUGACUUUGGGUAUUCACCAGUUCCUCAAGCAAGUAAGCAUAGUAACAUCACUAAGCCAGAGAGGAAGCCUAGACCUGUUGCUCCUCCUCCUCCUAGGAGAGAAUCUCCUUCUCCUGCUAAACCUUCUCGUCCUGCUCCUUCUCAACAACAACCCAUUCAGAGGGAGAAGGAGCAUAAAGAAAUUGAUUUUGACUCGGCUCGGAAAAGACUACAACAAAACUACAGACAUGCGGAGAAUGCUAAAAAGCAAAGGACUAUACAGGUGAUGGACAUUCAUGAGAUCCCUAAACCCAAGAAAGGUGGAUUUUUCCCAAGAAAAGGUGGGAGUUCUCAGGGAGGUGGUAGACACUGGUAGACUAAAUGAAGAAGGUGAUGAAGAGAGUUGAGUGAAACGAGUUAGUAGAGGAAUGUAAAAGACAGAGAACAAAGCUCUGUUUUUUGAGACAGGCACAAGAGGUCUAAAAGUAUGUUUCAAGUAUUUGGAAUUAAGUUGAUUCACAGUUUGCUGGAGUUUUUUUUUAUUCAGUUGCUGUCAAUGUAAAUAAAUGUCUAAUAAACGGGUCAAUGUAAAGUGAGGAUUGUAAUCUUUGUUGAGCUUAUCUUUUAGUUUUUUUUUUUUUUCUCUGGAUA